AUUGAACGCUGGCGGCAUGCCUUACACAUGCAAGUCGAACGGCAGCGGACCUUCGGGUGCCGGCGAGUGGCGAACGGGUGAGUAAUAUAUCGGAACGUACCUUUCAGUGGGGGAUAGCGUAGCGAAAGUUACGCUAAUACCGCAUAUUCUGUGAGCAGGAAAGCAGGGGAUCGCAAGACCUUGCGCUGAUUGAGCGGCCGAUAUCAGAUUAGCUAGUUGGUGAGGUAAAGGCUCACCAAGGCGACGAUCUGUAGCGGGUCUGAGAGGAUGAUCCGCCACACUGGAACUGAGACACGGUCCAGACUCCUACGGGAGGCAGCAGUGGGGAAUUUUGGACAAUGGGCGCAAGCCUGAUCCAGCCAUGCCGCGUGAGUGAAGAAGGCCUGG
This 387-nucleotide ribosomal RNA is filed under the name uncultured bacterium. Its description in RNAcentral is "bacterial SSU rRNA". It matches the Rfam family "Bacterial small subunit ribosomal RNA", at positions 30 to 419 of the family's 1533-position model. The record is from RNAcentral.